This 32-nucleotide non-coding RNA is filed under the name Rattus norvegicus (Norway rat). The record is from RNAcentral. Lineage: Eukaryota; Metazoa; Chordata; Mammalia; Rodentia; Muridae.
CUGCUUAGGAUUGAUGGGUCUAAACCCUCAGC